RNAcentral lists this ribosomal RNA (182 nucleotides) under uncultured bacterium. RNAcentral's name for it is "partial 16S ribosomal RNA". It matches the Rfam family "Bacterial small subunit ribosomal RNA", at positions 1319 to 1500 of the family's 1533-position model. The record is from RNAcentral.
CAUGAAGCCGGAAUCGCUAGUAAUCGCAGAUCAGAAUGCUGCGGUGAAUACGUUCCCGGGUCUUGUACACACCGCCCGUCACACCAUGGGAGUCGAUAACGCCCGAAGUCAGUGACCCAACCGAGAGGAGGGAGCUGCCGAAGGCGGGAUGGAUAACUGGGGUGAAGUCGUAACAAGGUAUC